This 828-nucleotide ribosomal RNA is filed under the name Klebsiella pneumoniae. Its description in RNAcentral is "partial 16S ribosomal RNA". It matches the Rfam family "Bacterial small subunit ribosomal RNA", at positions 55 to 870 of the family's 1533-position model. The record is from RNAcentral. Lineage: Bacteria; Pseudomonadati; Pseudomonadota; Gammaproteobacteria; Enterobacterales; Enterobacteriaceae.
AUGCAAGUCGAGCGGUAGCACAGAGAGCUUGCUCUCGGGUGACGAGCGGCGGACGGGUGAKUAAUGUCUGGGAAACUGCCUGAUGGAGGGGGAUAACUACUGGAAACGGUAGCUAAUACCGCAUAAUGUCGCAAGACCAAAGUGGGGGACCUUCGGGCCUCAUGCCAUCARAUGUGCCCAGAUGGGAUUAGCUAGUAGGUGGGGUAACGGCUCACCUARGCRACGAUCCCUAGCUGGUCUGARAGGAUGACCAGCCACACUGGAACUGAGACACGGUCCASACUCCUACGGGAGGCAGCAGUGGGGAAUAUUGCACAAUGGGCGCAAGCCUGAUGCAKCCAUGCCGCGUGUGUGAAGAAGGCCUUCGGGUUGUAAAGCACUUUCAGCGGGGAGGAAGGCGKUAAGGUUAAUAACCUUGUCGAUUGACGUUACCCGCARAAGAAGCACCGGCUAACUCCGUGCCAGCAGCCGCGGUAAUACGGAGGGUGCAAGCGUUAAUCGGAAUUACUGGGCGUAAAGCGCACGCAGGCGGUCUGUCAAGUCGGAUGUGAAAUCCCCGGGCUCAACCUGGGAACUGCAUUCGAAACUGGCAGGCUAGAGUCUUGUAGAGGGGGGUAGAAUUCCAGGUGUAGCGGUGAAAUGCGUAGAGAUCUGGAGGAAUACCGGUGGCGAAGGCGGCCCCCUGGACAAAGACUGACGCUCAGGUGCGAAAGCGUGRGGARCAAACAGGAUUARAUACCCCUGGUAGUCCACGCCCRUAAACRAUGUCSAUUUGRAGGMUGUGCCCUUUGAGGUKUGKCUUCCCGGAGCUAACRCGUUUAAUCGACC